UUAUAAAAAUAUACAAAUAUUUAUCUUUAAAAAUAAAGUUUAAAACAAAAACAAUGACUUAAAAGGAUAAUCACGCCAUAGAUAAUUGAGGUGUCACAUGAUCUUAGCUCACAAGAAUCAACCAAUACAGAUUAUAUUAAUAAGAAAACAAAUAAAACGAUAACAACUUGGGGAUGUAGCUCAGAUGGUAGAGCGCUCGCUUAGCAUGCGAGAGAUUACAUCGGAAUCUCAAGUUAACUGAUACAUCAGCUCAGAAGCUUUUUGAAAUGAAUCCAAACGGGUGAGAGGUUAUGUUUGCCUUUCCAACAUCUAUGCGUCUGAAAGACAGUGGUUUGAGUUUGUGAACAAAACUCAUCUGGUUUUCUUCUAAAGUCUUUUAGAAUGAGUUUUUAAUAAUUAUUCUUUAUUGUGCAUAACCGUCUUAGGAGAUUGAUUGGUUGUCAUGGAUACAAUAAUAUUAAUUAUUUCAUAGAGUUCACAUCAAAUAUUGAAAUCCUAACAAAUAAGAGCAAUUUGCAAGUGUCUUUAGUAAUGGUAAUGUUUUAGGAUGUCCUUAUUGCAUCAUCUUUUGUAAGAAUUUGUGUGUUUCAAUAACUCAAACCCGAGUGUGGACUGAGUCAAGUCUCGGUUUUGGCA
This is a long non-coding RNA of Lathyrus oleraceus (garden pea), 636 nucleotides long. RefSeq lists it as uncharacterized. Lineage: Eukaryota; Viridiplantae; Streptophyta; Magnoliopsida; Fabales; Fabaceae. The record is from RefSeq and is a predicted model, not a curated record. The transcript is spliced from 2 exons.